AGUGCAUAAUCAUGAAUAGAAGUUGUUUAUAUUGAAUUCUGGAGAAUUACCACACGACCCACAAACUUGAAGUAAGAAAGGUGCUCGGUUUGAUAUACAGAAUUAGGGUUUGGCUGGAAAGUUGCAUUACUCCCCACAGUAGUAAAAAGCAAUGCUCCCUUGUCAAAAAUAACCCUUGACAGUAGUUGAUACCAUUCUCUGGUCAAACCCCCAGCAUCAAUACCCUCUUCACCCUGGAACUGUACAUUUAACCGUCCCUUAAGAUCCAGACUAGGUCGCAUCCUUAACUGAUUAUAUGAAUCCUCCAAGACAUAUGCCCGCCGAACACUGAUCCGCAAAGGGCCAGAGAGGUGUUGCUCAUGCUGCUGCCUUAUUCUCGAGCGGAAAUAAGCCCUCUUGUUGUCAAAAUCAAUCAGUCUGGGUACUUUCAACAUCAUAGAAAGUGAUUUCUCCAACAAGCCAGGAUUCUGUCUAAUAAAAGUAUUCAAUAGCCUACGAUGCUUCUCAGCAAACCUAGCAAAUGUGACAGAACCGUCAAGCUUUCUCUGAGAAUCUGUACUGCAUGUGGUCAAUGAAACCGAACCCCCGGCAGACUCUUUGACUUCUCUUGCAGUUACAUCAGCAUGAUCUUGCUGCAUGAAAGAAUUGUUCACUUGCAGCUUUUCACACAAAACAAAGAAUGCUUCAAUAAAAGGCAGUAAUCUCUGGGUUCCAGGAGGAAGAGGAGAUGAAGAAGUUCCCUGCACAUGGUCCCCCAAAUUUAUGUGUGACAUGGUUGGACUGAAAGAGCUCUGACCCAACUGCGUCUCAGUAACACUUAUGCAUUCACUCAGUUCUCGCCACAAAGGCUCAAGUGCAAUAUUCAAGUUCCACAUGGUGGUGGCCUGCUCCUCCUGUCCUCCAUCACCCUCAAGCUCAAUAUUCUCAUUAGUACUGGCUGAAAUGAGUGAACUGAGCGCCUGUAAUACACGCAGAAUUGCAGCACCAGCCAUGGAGCCAGCACUAAGACCCAGCAUCUGUGUAUUCCUCAGAGUGACAAGCUCACUGACUGCUGAACUGCUCAAACCAUGGGCCAAUUCUGAAAGCUCUGAAGUAAAAAACUUUCUAUGAGAUGCAGCAACUGAGGCCAAUUUCUUCAGCACUUCUCCAGCUAGCAUGUAAACUUUAUCUGACAGCCUGAAUUGGUUAACAGACAAGGUUAGUUAUUCAUUUACUUCAUUGCAUCAGUAAAAAUAGAGUGACCAAAUGUUUGAAGGGAGAGAGGGAAACAAAUCGAAAAAAAAAAAAAAAAAAGAGAAGAAAGCUUUGUAAUAGUCAGGAUCGACUGCCUCUAUGUCAUGGUAGGUCACCUUUACUCCAAGAAUGUGCUUGUAGAAAGACCGUGUAAAAUAAACAUCCAAAAGUUGCCCAUCAAAUAGUGCCUUUGCAACCUACACAAGUGACCAUAACAAAAACUUCAAAAAAUCUAUUCCACAAUACACCACAAAAACAAAAGUGCAUAAUCAUGAAUAGAAGUUGUUUAUAUUGAAUUCUGGAGAAUUACCACACGACCCACAAACUUGAAGUAAGAAAGGUGCUCGGUUUGAUAUACAGAAUUAGGGUUUGGCUGGAAAGUUGCAUUACUCCCCACAGUAGUAAAAAGCAAUGCUCCCUUGUCAAAAAUAACCCUUGACAGUAGUUGAUACCAUUCUCUGGUCAAACCCCCAGCAUCAAUACCCUCUUCACCCUGGAACUGUACAUUUAACCGUCCCUUAAGAUCCAGACUAGGUCGCAUCCUUAACUGAUUAUAUGAAUCCUCCAAGACAUAUGCCCGCCGAACACUGAUCCGCAAAGGGCCAGAGAGGUGUUGCUCAUGCUGCUGCCUUAUUCUCGAGCGGAAAUAAGCCCUCUUGUUGUCAAAAUCAAUCAGUCUGGGUACUUUCAACAUCAUAGAAAGUGAUUUCUCCAACAAGCCAGGAUUCUGUCUAAUAAAAGUAUUCAAUAGCCUACGAUGCUUCUCAGCAAACCUAGCAAAUGUGACAGAACCGUCAAG
RNAcentral lists this long non-coding RNA (2032 nucleotides) under Jatropha curcas. Its description in RNAcentral is "long non-coding RNA (JCUR_LNC001137)". The record is from RNAcentral. Lineage: Eukaryota; Viridiplantae; Streptophyta; Magnoliopsida; Malpighiales; Euphorbiaceae.